CCUACGGGUGGCAGCAGUGAGGAAUAUUGGUCAAUGGGCGGGAGCCUGAACCAGCCAAGUAGCGUGAAGGAUGACUGCACUAAGGGUCGUAAACUUCUUUUAUCAGGGAAUAAAGUGAGGCACGUGUGCCUGUUUGUGUGUACUUUAUGAAUAAGGAUCGGCUAACUCCGUGCCAGCAGCCGCGGUAAUACGGAGGAUGCGAGCGUUAUCCGGAUUUAUUGGGUUUAAAGGGAGCGUAGAUGGGUUGUUAAGUCAGUGGUGAAAGUUUGCGGCUCAACCGUAAAAUUGCAAUUGAUACUGGCAGUCUCGAGUACAGUUGAGGUAGGCGGAAUGCGUGGUGUAGCGGUGAAAUGCUUAGAUAUCACGAAGAACUCCGAUUGCGAAGGCAGCUUACCAAACCGCCACUGACAUUGAUGCUCGAAAGUGUGGGUAUCAAACAGGAUUAGAUACCCCAGUAGUC
This 460-nucleotide ribosomal RNA is filed under the name uncultured bacterium. RNAcentral's name for it is "partial 16S ribosomal RNA". It matches the Rfam family "Bacterial small subunit ribosomal RNA", at positions 338 to 795 of the family's 1533-position model. The record is from RNAcentral.